GUGAGUCGACCCCUAAGGCGAGGCCGAAAGGCGUAGUCGAUGGGAAACAGGUUAAUAUUCCUGUACUUGGUGUUACUGCGAAGGGGGGACGGAGAAGGCUAUGUUAGCCGGGCGACGGUUGUCCCGGUUUAAGCAUGUAGGCUGGUUGUCCAGGCAAAUCCGGAUAAUCAAGGCUGAGGUGUGAUGACGAGGCACUACGGUGCUGAAGUAACAAAUGCCCUGCUUCCAGGAAAAGCCUCUAAGCAUCAGGUAACAUCAAAUCGUACCCCAAACCGACACAGGUGGUCAGGUA
RNAcentral lists this ribosomal RNA (292 nucleotides) under Klebsiella quasipneumoniae subsp. similipneumoniae. RNAcentral's name for it is "partial 23S ribosomal RNA". It matches the Rfam family "Bacterial large subunit ribosomal RNA", at positions 1379 to 1673 of the family's 2925-position model. Lineage: Bacteria; Pseudomonadati; Pseudomonadota; Gammaproteobacteria; Enterobacterales; Enterobacteriaceae. The record is from RNAcentral.